Molecule: long non-coding RNA, 983 nt
Filed under: Lathyrus oleraceus (garden pea)
Lineage: Eukaryota; Viridiplantae; Streptophyta; Magnoliopsida; Fabales; Fabaceae
Description: Pisum sativum (pea) long non-coding RNA (PSAT_LNC040231)
Source: RNAcentral
AAGUAAAUCAUAUGAUAAAAUUACAGAAUAUCUUAAAAUUUCAAUACUUAUUACAGUUUAAAAGAUAAAGUAAAAAAUAAAUAUAUAUAAUAAAAAAUAGAAAAAUUAAAGUAAUAAAAAAAGGUAAUUUAAAAAGAAAAGUGUUUCCGAAUACUGGUGAUUUCAGACUGGGCGGAGACGAAUUCCGGCGAGUCUAGGGUUUAAAAGUAAAUCAUAUGAUAAAAUUACACAAAACCUCCGCCGAGAAAAAAAAGGUUUUACCAAAACCUCCGACNGUAAUAUGUUCUCUAAAGUAAAUCAUAUGAUAAAAUUACAGAAUAUCUUAAAAUUUCAAUACUUAUUACAGUUUAAAAGAUAAAGUAAAAAAUAAAUAUAUAUAAUAAAAAAUAGAAAAAUUAAAGUAAUAAAAAAAGGUAAUUUAAAAAGAAAAGUGUUUCCGAAUACUGGUGAUUUCAGACUGGGCGGAGACGAAUUCCGGCGAGUCUAGGGUUUAAAAGUAAAUCAUAUGAUAAAAUUACACAAAACCUCCGCCGAGAAAAAAAAGGUUUUACCAAAACCUCCGACAUCGCCGCCGCUUCUUGUAGUCGUCUUCAUCAUCCUCCGUCGCCAUCUUCAACAUCACAAACUCCGAUAACUAAACCCUAACUUCAAUUCUGUUCGAUUCGAAUAGAUUGAUUGUUUGAUCCAUGGGGAAGAAAGGAGGAGCGAAAAAUCUCCCAAAACCGGAAUCAAAAUCUCACACUCCUAUUACACUGAGAGAAGAAGCCACUGGAAAAUUAAAAACGAAGCCAAUCGUUAACACAAAAAGAAAGGAGGAGCGAAAAAUCUCCCAAAACCGGAAUCAAAAUCUCACACUCCUAUUACACUGAGAGAAGAAGCCACUGGAAAAUUAAAAACGAAGCCAAUCGUUAACACAAAGUCACAUCUGAGAAUUGAUCAUUUGAAAAAACUUGCGGUGUGGACCACUACUAACCCUCACAUAC